This 484-nucleotide ribosomal RNA is filed under the name uncultured bacterium. Its description in RNAcentral is "SSU rRNA". It matches the Rfam family "Bacterial small subunit ribosomal RNA", at positions 26 to 521 of the family's 1533-position model. The record is from RNAcentral.
AGAACGAACGCUGGCGGCAUGCCUAACACAUGCAAGUCGAACGCUUCCGGGGCUUCGGUCGCGGAGGAGUGGCGCACGGGUGAGUAGCGCGUGGGAACCUGCCCUGUUGUGGGGGAUAACCGAGGGAAACUUCGGCUAAUACCGCAUACGCCCCGGGACUUGGUCUUCGGAUUAGGUCUGGGGGGAAAGAUUGAUCGCAGCAGGAGGGGCCCGCGUCGGAUUAGCUGGUUGGUGGGGUAACGGCUCACCAAGGCGAUGAUCCGUAGCUGGUCUGAGAGGAUGAUCAGCCACACUGGGACUGAGACACGGCCCAGACUCCUACGGGAGGCAGCAGUGGGGAAUAUUGGACAAUGGGGGCAACCCUGAUCCAGCAAUGCCGCGUGAGUGAUGAAGGCCUUAGGGUUGUAAAGCUCUUUCGCCCGCGACGAUGAUGACGGUAGCGGGAGAAGAAGCCCCGGCUAACGUUCGUGCCAGCAGCCGCGGU